Molecule: ribosomal RNA, 539 nt
Filed under: uncultured archaeon
Lineage: Archaea
Description: bacterial SSU rRNA
Rfam family: Archaeal small subunit ribosomal RNA
Source: RNAcentral
CGCGAAAACUUUACGAUGCUGGAAACAGCGAUAAGGGGACCUCGAGUGCCAGGUUACAAAUCUGGCUGUCGUGAUGCCUAAAAAGCAUUGCAUAGCAAGGGCCGGGCAAGACCGGUGCCAGCCGCCGCGGUAACACCGGCGGCUCGAGUGGUAACCGUUAUUAUUGGGUCUAAAGGGUCUGUAGCCGGCCGGAUAAGUCUCUUGGGAAAUCCAGCAGCCCAACUGUUGGGCUUUCAGGAGAUACUGUCUGGCUCGAGGCCGGGAGAGGUGAGAGGUACUUCAGGGGUAGGGGUGAAAUCUUGUAAUCCUUGAAGGACCACCAGUGGCGAAGGCGUCUCACCAGAACGGACCUGACGGCAAGGGACGAAAGCUAGGGGCACGAACCGGAUUAGAUACCCGGGUAGUCCUAGCCGUAAACGAUACUCGCUAGGUGUCGGCCACGGUGCGACCGUUGUCGGUGCCGUAGGGAAGCCGUGAAGCGAGCCACCUGGGAAGUACGGCCGCAAGGCUGAAACUUAAAGGAAUUGGCGGGGGAGCAC